AGAGCAGGCCUAAAGAAAUUGACGGGGUGUGCCAGCAGCCGCACCGGUGAUUGUGCCAGCAGCCGCAUCUCAAAGAAAUUGACGGGAACUCAAACGGAUUGUCGGGAACUCAAAGAAAUUGACGGGACGUGUGCCAGCAGCCGCAUAGCAACUGUGCCAGCAGCCGCGUAACUCAAAGAAAUUGACGGGACGUGUGCCAGCAGCCGCAACUCAAAUAAAUUGACGGGAGUGUGCCAGCAGCCGCGGUAGUGAUGUGCCAGCAGCCGCAACUCAAAUAAAUUGACGGGAACUCAGUGAAAUUGACGGGAACUCAAAUAAAUUGACGGGA
This 328-nucleotide ribosomal RNA is filed under the name uncultured Alphaproteobacteria bacterium. RNAcentral describes it as "partial 16S ribosomal RNA". The record is from RNAcentral. Lineage: Bacteria; Pseudomonadati; Pseudomonadota; Alphaproteobacteria.